This 2788-nucleotide ribosomal RNA is filed under the name Burkholderia pseudomallei. RNAcentral's name for it is "bacterial LSU rRNA". It matches the Rfam family "Bacterial large subunit ribosomal RNA". Lineage: Bacteria; Pseudomonadati; Pseudomonadota; Betaproteobacteria; Burkholderiales; Burkholderiaceae. The record is from RNAcentral.
AGCGUACACGGUGGAUGCCCUGGCAGUCAGAGGCGAUGAAGGACGUGCUAAUCUGCGAUAAGCGUCGGUAAGGUGAUAUGGACCGUUAUAACCGGCGAUUUCCGAAUGGGGAAACCCAGUGUGAUUCGUCACACUAUCAUUAACUGAAUCCAUAGGUUAAUGAGGCGAACCGGGGGAACUGAAACAUCUAAGUACCCCGAGGAAAAGAAAUCAACCGAGAUUCCCCCAGUAGCGGCGAGCGAACGGGGAGGAGCCCAGAGCCUGAAUCAGUGUGUGUGUUAGUGGAAGCGUCUGGAAAGGCGCGCGAUACAGGGUGACAGCCCCGUACACAAAAAUGCACAUAUUGUGAGCUCGAUGAGUAGGGCGGGACACGUGGUAUCCUGUCUGAAUAUGGGGGGACCAUCCUCCAAGGCUAAAUACUCCUGACUGACCGAUAGUGAACCAGUACCGUGAGGGAAAGGCGAAAAGAACCCCGGCGAGGGGAGUGAAAAAGAACCUGAAACCGUGUACGUACAAGCAGUGGGAGCCUCUUAAUGGGGUGACUGCGUACCUUUUGUAUAAUGGGUCAGCGACUUAUAUUCUGUAGCAAGGUUAACCGUAUAGGGGAGCCGAAGGGAAACCGAGUCUUAACUGGGCGUUAAGUUGCAGGGUAUAGACCCGAAACCCGGUGAUCUAGCCAUGGGCAGGUUGAAGGUUGGGUAACACUAACUGGAGGACCGAACCGACUAAUGUUGAAAAAUUAGCGGAUGACUUGUGGCUGGGGGUGAAAGGCCAAUCAAACCGGGAGAUAGCUGGUUCUCCCCGAAAGCUAUUUAGGUAGCGCCUCGUGAAUUCAUCUCCGGGGGUAGAGCACUGUUUCGGCAAGGGGGUCAUCCCGACUUACCAACCCGAUGCAAACUGCGAAUACCGGAGAAUGUUAUCACGGGAGACACACGGCGGGUGCUAACGUCCGUCGUGAAGAGGGAAACAACCCAGACCGCCAGCUAAGGUCCCAAAGUCAUGGUUAAGUGGGAAACGAUGUGGGAAGGCCCAGACAGCCAGGAUGUUGGCUUAGAAGCAGCCAUCAUUUAAAGAAAGCGUAAUAGCUCACUGGUCGAGUCGGCCUGCGCGGAAGAUGUAACGGGGCUAAACCAUGCACCGAAGCUGCGGCAGCGACACUAUGUGUUGUUGGGUAGGGGAGCGUUCUGUAAGCCUGUGAAGGUGGCCUGUGAGGGUUGCUGGAGGUAUCAGAAGUGCGAAUGCUGACAUAAGUAACGAUAAAGCGGGUGAAAAGCCCGCUCGCCGGAAGACCAAGGGUUCCUGUCCAACGUUAAUCGGGGCAGGGUGAGUCGACCCCUAAGGCGAGGCCGAAAGGCGUAGUCGAUGGGAAACAGGUUAAUAUUCCUGUACUUGGUGUUACUGCGAAGGGGGGACGGAGAAGGCUAUGUUGGCCGGGCGACGGUUGUCCCGGUUUAAGCGUGUAGGCUGGUUUUCCAGGCAAAUCCGGAAAACCAAGGCUGAGGCGUGAUGACGAGGCACUACGGUGCUGAAGUAACAAAUGCCCUGCUUCCAGGAAAAGCCUCUAAGCAUCAGGUAACAUCAAAUCGUACCCCAAACCGACACAGGUGGUCAGGUAGAGAAUACCAAGGCGCUUGAGAGAACUCGGGUGAAGGAACUAGGCAAAAAUGGUGCCGUAACUUCGGGAGAAGGCACGCUGAUAUGUAGGUGAAGCGACUUGCUCGUGGAGCUGAAAUCAGUCGAAGAUACCAGCUGGCUGCAACUGUUUAUUAAAAACACAGCACUGUGCAAACACGAAAGUGGACGUAUACGGUGUGACGCCUGCCCGGUGCCGGAAGGUUAAUUGAUGGGGUUAGCGGUAACGCGAAGCUCUUGAUCGAAGCCCCGGUAAACGGCGGCCGUAACUAUAACGGUCCUAAGGUAGCGAAAUUCCUUGUCGGGUAAGUUCCGACCUGCACGAAUGGCGUAAUGAUGGCCAGGCUGUCUCCACCCGAGACUCAGUGAAAUUGAACUCGCUGUGAAGAUGCAGUGUACCCGCGGCAAGACGGAAAGACCCCGUGAACCUUUACUAUAGCUUGACACUGAACAUUGAGCCUUGAUGUGUAGGAUAGGUGGGAGGCUUUGAAGUGUGGACGCCAGUCUGCAUGGAGCCGACCUUGAAAUACCACCCUUUAAUGUUUGAUGUUCUAACGUUGGCCCCUAAUCGGGGUUGCGGACAGUGUCUGGUGGGUAGUUUGACUGGGGCGGUCUCCUCCUAAAGAGUAACGGAGGAGCACGAAGGUUGGCUAAUCCUGGUCGGACAUCAGGAGGUUAGUGCAAUGGCAUAAGCCAGCUUGACUGCGAGCGUGACGGCGCGAGCAGGUGCGAAAGCAGGUCAUAGUGAUCCGGUGGUUCUGAAUGGAAGGGCCAUCGCUCAACGGAUAAAAGGUACUCCGGGGAUAACAGGCUGAUACCGCCCAAGAGUUCAUAUCGACGGCGGUGUUUGGCACCUCGAUGUCGGCUCAUCACAUCCUGGGGCUGAAGUAGGUCCCAAGGGUAUGGCUGUUCGCCAUUUAAAGUGGUACGCGAGCUGGGUUUAGAACGUCGUGAGACAGUUCGGUCCCUAUCUGCCGUGGGCGCUGGAGAACUGAGGGGGGCUGCUCCUAGUACGAGAGGACCGGAGUGGACGCAUCACUGGUGUUCGGGUUGUCAUGCCAAUGGCACUGCCCGGUAGCUAAAUGCGGAAGAGAUAAGUGCUGAAAGCAUCUAAGCACGAAACUUGCCCCGAGAUGAGUUCUCCCUGACUCCUUGA